UACGGGGGGGGCAAGCGUUGUUCGGAAUUACUGGGCGUAAAGGGCUCGUAGGCGGCCAACUAAGUCAGACGUGAAAUCCCUCGGCUUAACCGGGGAACUGCGUCUGAUACUGGAUGGCUUGAGAUUGGGAGAGGGAUGCGGAAUUCCAGGUGUAGCGGUGAAAUGCGUAGAUAUCUGGAGGAACACCGGUGGCGAAGGCGGCAUCCUGGACCAACACUGACGCUGAGGAGCGAAAGUCAGGGGAGCAAACGGG
RNAcentral lists this ribosomal RNA (253 nucleotides) under uncultured bacterium. RNAcentral describes it as "partial 16S ribosomal RNA". It matches the Rfam family "Bacterial small subunit ribosomal RNA", at positions 524 to 776 of the family's 1533-position model. The record is from RNAcentral.